Molecule: long non-coding RNA, 1316 nt
Organism: Patella vulgata (common limpet)
Lineage: Eukaryota; Metazoa; Mollusca; Gastropoda; Patellidae
Exons: 3
Source: RefSeq, a predicted model, not a curated record
AUGAAUAGGUAAAAAAAAAAUUUUAAAAACAUUUAUUAAAGGUUUAAUACACCUUUAAAACUUAAUUACGUUCAUAACUUAAUUGCAAAAUAUCUAUAUUUAAUGUACCGGUAUAUAAAAAAACCCAAUAAAGGUCAAGAUUAAUUAUCUUAUACAUAUUUUAUUUUAAAACACACCCAAGGUUGACAGUUGGUCCAAUCAAAUUUAAACAUCUUUCCGCCAAAAAGGAAUCCUAGCCAAACAUGGCUGCUUUAUUAGAGCUGUGAUAAACUAUUGAGUUUUAUAAGUUGCUAGAAGGCGUAAAAGUUGAAAAUUAGGUAUGUUACGAUUAAUUAACAUUUUGUGUCCAUUUAGAAAUAAUUAUGAUAUAAAAGAAUUAAUUGUUUCGGUAAUUGUAGAUUAUUUUCUACUGGUAGCCGAACUUCUAUUGUCAUUUCAUUAUUGAACCCUCCUUGCAAAGUAAAUUGAGUAUUUUAAAUAUGUUUUAUUACCUCUUAAAUGAUUUAUUUUAGUUUUGAAACUUUAGUGUUUUUAUUUUAUAAUUGUAUUGCAUUUUAAUCAUUUAGUUUUUGGUUAAUUGCUAUGUCUGGAUUUAGAAAGAGCUAUUUCAAUCUAUGUCUGGAAUUGGAAGGGGCCAUUACAAUAUUUAUAGUAUUGUAUAAUGGACUUUCCCAGUAUCUAUUAUCUUUAAAUGUAUAGGGUUACCAAUUUCAUGAAGCUUUGCAGGGAGUGUUAAUAGUAAUGUAACGUAUACAAAACUUGUGAUAUAUUACAAAUGACAAGUGAUAUAUGCACUCGUGCUGUAUGAACUAUUUAUAUAGUCUUUAGUGAAUGAAAACAUUUUUGGCUACCAUUCCUGGUUUUGAAUGUCAAAUAUGAUAUGAAAACGAAUAUCGGUUGAUGUCUAAUUCCCUAAUGGCCCAAUUUAAUUUAAAGGGAGGCGGUCCAUAAUGGACUUAGAAAUUUACAAAGUUGUCCAAGAUAGUGUAAUGAUCAGUCAGCCGAGCUGCAAGGAAGCCGAGAUAAUAACAGCAGUUUCGGCUCAUCUAAAAUAUGCACCCGACAGAAGAGGGACCAAUUAAGUACAUGUACAGUUUUAAUUUGUUUAUUACAUGUCAUAUUUUAUUAUAAUCUUUAUAAGCCAUUUUGAGCAGUGUUUUAUAUUGGUAACAGGCGCUUUAUAAAUAAAUAAAUUUUUAUUAUUAUUACGGUACCAAUUGCAUUACAAUUACUUUCUCAUUUUUAGCAAUAUCAUUCAUUACCAUUACCCAUUACAUUGAAAGUAAAUAAUUACAUUUUAUUACUAUUUAAAGAUU